AGAAUUGUAAUUUGAAGAAGCGUUUUCCGCGUUUCGGUCGGCCCAAAUCCCUUGGGAUGAGGUAUCAUGGAGGGUGAGAAUCCCGUUCGGUUUACCUUAUGACGUUUUACGAUACGCUUUCUAA
RNAcentral lists this ribosomal RNA (124 nucleotides) under Glomus sp. RNAcentral's name for it is "partial large subunit ribosomal RNA". Lineage: Eukaryota; Fungi; Glomeromycota; Glomeromycetes; Glomerales; Glomeraceae. The record is from RNAcentral.